AGGAGGAUGUGGAGAAGAAAGAAACCCCUCGGAAGCGAGAAGAUGAAAGACAGAAACCGAAAAGCGAGAGAGAGGCAGUGAGAGGAGGGGGAAAAAGAAAAGACGAAAAGGCAUCUUUUUGCAACUGGAAUUAAACACGAGGAUCAAGCGUGGGUCCUGUUUUUAAGGCGAUACUCUGCUCAAGCCAUCUGCGGACCUGGGGAAGCUCAUCUGGAAUCCCCUGCAUUGGGAUAUUGGCCUCCUAGGGAACGAAUGUACUCUUGUAACAUCCUCCGGCGUGGAAGUACGAGAGCAAAGGCAAAGAGUCAGUAGAGUUUGGAAAGACCUCAGUGAUGCUUUCUGCCAGGGAAUGAUCGCUAUGGUGAAGGAUACAAGGUGGAAAGAAAGAAAGAGAGAAAAAAAAAGGAAGAAGCCAACUCCUAAACCCCUGGAAAUCUGUGUUAAUUGCUUAUGAAUGUCUCUGUCUAAAAAAAAAUUAUCGAAUUGAUGUCGUCGUGGGUUUUUUGACAGCCUGUCUGUUACAUUUUUUUUAAAUAUUCAUGCACCAAAAUCUAAUUACUAGGCAAAUUUAAUGAUAAUGAAAUGAAGGCACUUUAGCGGAAAGCACAGGGCCCCCGUUAAUGUUUUCUCAGCCUCUGUCUUGUUCGUAAUUUUUUUUUUUUUUUAUGACUGCCUUUCUUGCAUUUAAAAA
Gavialis gangeticus (Gharial) is the source of this 691-nucleotide long non-coding RNA. RefSeq lists it as uncharacterized. NCBI's taxonomy places the organism in Eukaryota, Metazoa, Chordata, Crocodylia, Gavialidae. The transcript has 4 exons. The record is from RefSeq and is a predicted model, not a curated record.